GGAAGUCGUGCGUUGCCGUCACACCUUCUUCACCGCCGUCGUCCAGGGAGCUGCCGCAUCUUAGAGCUGCGAGGAAGCUUGUAGCCGUCGAUCCGCCAUUGAGCCGCCACUGGGAGACAAGCUUGCAAAGAGAGAGAGAGAGAGAACGCAAAAAGAGAGAGAAGAGCUCGUCACUGCCACUGCAUGCGUCGCCGUCAUUCGUGUGCUCUCCCGCUGCUGUUAGGGACGCGGUUGCCGAGCCUGUGGCUGCCGAAUAACAGUGUUGUCGGUGCCGAAGGUUGCCGGAGGUUGCUGUCGGAGAUGCAUGUCCAUUUCGUCGUUCUUAUUCAUGACUGGUUAAUUUACUGAGCUUGCAUACGGUGGAAGUUGUCGGAGCUGCUGUGGGCCGGUAAAAAGGUGUUUUGUAUGUUUCAUAGCUUUCGGGUUUCAACAAUAGAGUGUUUGGAGAAGUUAG
Non-coding RNA from Arachis ipaensis, 454 nucleotides. The record is from RefSeq and is a predicted model, not a curated record. Lineage: Eukaryota; Viridiplantae; Streptophyta; Magnoliopsida; Fabales; Fabaceae.